This is a long non-coding RNA of Canis lupus familiaris (dog), 764 nucleotides long. RefSeq lists it as uncharacterized. The transcript is spliced from 5 exons. NCBI's taxonomy places the organism in Eukaryota, Metazoa, Chordata, Mammalia, Carnivora, Canidae. The record is from RefSeq and is a predicted model, not a curated record.
AUAACCAAGAUAAUCCAAAUAAGGUGACAUUCAUAGGUUCCAGGCAUUAGGAUGUGGAUGUCUUACACACCAUCCUACCCACCCAACAUUCCGGGAACUCAUCUGUUCCAACUGUCGCUCUUCGGAUCACAUGGUCUCUCAUCCAGGCAGUUAAAACAGUCUCUGAGUUGCCAAGAGUCUUGACUAACAUCAUCCUCAUUGAUGUCAUCACCAUGAUCACAGCAAAUACCGGUACAGCGCUACGUCCGGACUCUUCUGACAGCUUUACGUGUGACAACUUGUUAAAUCCUCACCACGCUCCUAUGAGGAGAAGCCAACUGCCUUGUCAUGAGGACAUCUAAGCAUCCAUAAAGAGAGGUCUACAAGAUGAAGAAGCUGAGGCCUCCCACCAAAAAACAGCAUUAUCUUGCCAGGUGAAGUGGGUCCUCCAGCUCCAGUCAAGCUUUCAGAUGAACACAGUCUCAGCUGACAGCUUUACUGCAACCUUGUGAGAAACCCUGAAGUCAGAACCAGCCAAAGCCACUCCUGGAUCCUGACUCUCAGAAUCUGUGUACGCACACUUUGGGAACGUGAUGAGUUGGCUUUUCCCAGCCUCCUAGAUGCAGCCAGCCAGAAAGUAAUGAAGAUUCAUGGAUUUGCGGGGCACCUGGAUGGCUCAGUCCAUUAAGCAUCCAACUCUUGAUUUCUGCUGGGGUCAUGAUCUCAGGGUUGUGAGAUCCAGCCCUGUGUCAGGCUCUGUGCUCAGUGGGGAGUCUGCUUGAGAU